This 632-nucleotide long non-coding RNA is filed under the name Rattus norvegicus (Norway rat). RNAcentral describes it as "long non-coding RNA NONRATT006803". The record is from RNAcentral. Lineage: Eukaryota; Metazoa; Chordata; Mammalia; Rodentia; Muridae.
UUAAGAAUUUAACCAAUUGAUCUGUGAUGCGUCAGUGAGAUACCAACAGGUACAGUUUUUUAAUGCCCUUAGUUCUCUGUUAUUAGAGUGUUGGAGACAUAGAUGAUAGUGGAAUAAAGAACUCACAGUGAAACUUUAAAAUAUCAGCCAGGGGAUGAAAUAGCCAGCUUGGCCGUUAUGCACUGUGUUACAGCAGACGAGGUAUCUGAUAUCCACGACUUACUGGAGCACUACAUUUGUUUUUAGGUUCAAUGGUAAAUGGAUGGGGCUCUGCAUCUGAUGAGGAUCGUAACUUUUCUAGUCAUAGAUCUAGUGUAGGUAGCUCCUCAGAUGGCUCCAUCUUUGCCAGCGGCAGCUUUGCACAAGCAUUGGUGGCAGCAGCAGAUAAAGCUGGUUUUAGGCUGGAUGGAACCAGUCUUACAAGAACAGGUUGGUAGACUCUGAGUCAACACUCUUUGCAUGAGAGAAUCCUGUCCUCCAGACACUGACCUUUUCUUCUGCUCUUCCUUCUCAGUGAAUCUAACUGCAGGCUUCUUAAAAUAUGCAUGAACACAGUUGGAUAGACGCUCUGUUACCAGGACAGCUCUUUGGAUGCUAAUAUUUUGGAGCCAAAAAUAGGCUCCUUCUCACUA